CCGGUGCGUGCAGCGCCCCCUGCCGGCAGGCCUGGCGCGGCAACGGAGCGCCUGGCGCGGGGCCGACCCUGGCGGCCUUCCUGGCGGCGACGGUCUCGCCAUCUCCUCCUAAACAAGUUUGCGCUCCUUGAGACCCCAACUCUUCCCUAGGCUGGAGACCCUCACCUUCCCUCCUUGGGUCACCCGGUCCACCGGACCCUUUUCUUUUGCAUGGCGCAUAGGAGAGAGAAAAGGUCUCACUCUGCUGCACAGGCUGGAGCACAGCAGUGUGAUGAUGGCCUACUACAAUCUCAAAUGUCUGGGCUCAAGCAAUCCUCCUGCCUCAGCCUUCCAAGUAGCUGGGAGUAUAGGUACGUACCACCAAGGCCAGCUAA
Molecule: non-coding RNA, 374 nt
Organism: Microcebus murinus (gray mouse lemur)
Lineage: Eukaryota; Metazoa; Chordata; Mammalia; Primates; Cheirogaleidae
Source: RefSeq, a predicted model, not a curated record